AAAUACAAGGAAAAAGACUGAAUUUCUUGCUACUCAAAUACUUGGAGUUUCUAAGAAUCAAAAUUGUUCGAGUUAAUGGAAAUAUGACCACAACUGCAUUCACAGUCUUGUGAAAUUUGGGAUUCACAGCUUAAAAGUGAAUAGAAAACUACUAUCUAUUUUGUCAAUGAGUUAUGGAAAGAAAAUCAUGAUUUUAUUACAAUGGAGGAAUACCUCGGACUGUAUUUGAGAAUUAUUCUUCUAACUAUCCGGCUGCCUGAAUUAUCCACUUUUCUCUCUUUUGUUGUUGGUGUUUGUUAAUAGAUCAUUCCACCUAUGAAUCAGGCUUUCCCAGAAUUCUUUGGGUACCGGGGACAUGCUAUUUUGGCGAUGGCUACUUUGACAUCCUUGUUCCUCAGAGUGUAGAUGAGAGGGUUGAGGACAGGUGUGAGAAUAGCAUACACCACAUUGCCCAUGAUAUGGAAGUCGAGGGGCAGGUCAGCUCUAUAGGCCACAUAGGCUAUGGCAAUGGAUGAGUAGUAGGUGCCAACCACCAGGAGGUGGGAGCUGCAGGUGGAGAAGGCUUUUGAGCGUCCUUCUCGGGAGCUGAUGCGAAGCACCGAGGCCAGGAUGUGGGCAUAGGAGAGAAGCACCAGGAGAAGGGGCAGGAAGGACACCACCAUGGCGAUGCAGAAUCCCAUGAAGGUCUGGGGCGUGGUGUCAGAGCAGGAGGCCUGGACCACAGCUAAGUGGUCACAGAAGCAGUGGUAGACCUGGGCCACAGGACUAAAAGCCAUGUGGGAGGUCUGCACCACUGCCGGGAUGGGCAGGAGGAGGGCAGUGAGCCAGGCACCGGCUGCCAGGGCAGCGUUGGUCUGUGGGGCCAUGAGGACAGGGUAGUGCAGUGGGCGGCAGAUAGCUACAUAGCAGUCAUAGGCCAUGACCACCAGGAUGAAGGCUUCAGAGCAGGAGAAGCUGUGGAAGAGGUACAUCUGCAGGAAGCAGGCAGGGAAGCUGAGGAGGCGGUCCCCAAGCAAGAGUAGGGACAGCAUCUUGGGGACAGUGGACGUGGUGAAAAUGAUGUCCAAGGCCUAGAGGUUGAUCAGGAAGAAGUACAUGGGCUUGUGGAGGCUGGGCUCUGCCACCACGGCCACCAGGAUCAGCGUGUUCCCCACCAGGAUGAACAGGUAGAAGAACAGGAAGAUGAAGAAGACAGGGAGGAAGAGGGACUCCUGCAGGGAGGGGAUGCCCACCAGGUAGAAGAUGGGUGAAGAAUCUUCUGAUCCAUCACAGGCUGUGGUGUUCAUGGUGUGACAGAGCGGCAUGCCAGGAUGACAUACAGCCAGAGCAUCUGGAAACCAGAAAAACCAG
This 1350-nucleotide long non-coding RNA is filed under the name Equus caballus (horse). RNAcentral's name for it is "olfactory receptor family 2 subfamily AT member 2 (ENSECAG00000007318.3)". Lineage: Eukaryota; Metazoa; Chordata; Mammalia; Perissodactyla; Equidae. The record is from RNAcentral.